This 422-nucleotide ribosomal RNA is filed under the name uncultured archaeon. Its description in RNAcentral is "partial 16S ribosomal RNA". It matches the Rfam family "Archaeal small subunit ribosomal RNA", at positions 323 to 746 of the family's 1478-position model. The record is from RNAcentral.
CUACGGGCCGCUCCAGGCGAGAAAACUUUGCAAUGUGCGAAAGCACGACAAGGUUAAUCCGAGUGGUUUGUGCUAAACGAACCUUUUGACAGUCCUAGAAACACUGUUGAAUAAGGGGUGGGCAAGUUCUGGUGUCAGCCGCCGCGGUAAAACCAGCACCUCAAGUGGUCAGGAUGAUUAUUGGGCCUAAAGCAUCCGUAGCCGGCUCUGUAAGUUUUCGGUUAAAUCUGUACGCUCAACGUACAGGCUGCCGGGAAUACUGCAGAGCUAGGGAGUGGGAGAGGUAGACGGUACUCGGUAGGAAGGGGUAAAAUCCUUUGAUCUAUUGACGACCACCUGUGGCGAAGGCGGUCUACCAGAACACGUCCGACGGUGAGGGAUGAAAGCUGGGGGAGCAAACCGGAUUAGAUACCCUGGUAGUC